AGAAGGAAAAGAAGCGGUGUAUCAACCUGAACGCGU
Molecule: small RNA, 36 nt
Filed under: Arabidopsis thaliana (thale cress)
Lineage: Eukaryota; Viridiplantae; Streptophyta; Magnoliopsida; Brassicales; Brassicaceae
Description: ATSL240060
Source: RNAcentral